GGCUUAACACAUGCAAGUCGAGGGGAAACGACAUCGAAAGCUUUGCUUUUUGCUGGGCGUCGACCGGCGCACGGGUGAGUAACGCGUAUCCAACCUGCCCAUCACUUGGGGAUAACCUUGCGAAAGUAAGACUAAUACCCAAUGAUAUCUCUAGAAGACAUCUGAAAGAGAUUAAAGAUUUAUCGGUGAUGGAUGGGGGAUGCGUCUGAUUAGCUUUGUUGGCGGGGUAACGGCCCACCAAGGCAACGAUCAGUAGGGGUUCUGAGAGGAAGGUCCCCCACAUUGGAACUGAGACACGGUCCAAACUCCUACGGGAGGCAGCAGUGAGGAAUAUUGGUCAAUGGACGAGAGUCUGAACCAGCCAAGUAGCGUGCAGGAUGACGGCCCUAUGGGUUGUAAACUGCUUUUAUAAGGGAAUAAAGUGAGUCUCGGAGACUUUUUGCAUGUACCUUAUGAAUAAGGACCGGCUAAUUCCCGUGCCAGCAGCCGCGGUAAUACGGAAAGGUCCGGGCGUUAUCCGGAUUUAUUGGGUUUAAAGGGAGCGUAGGCCGGAGAUUAAGCGUGUUGUGAAAUGUAGAUGCUCAACAUCUGAACUGCAGCGCGAACUGGUUUCCUUGAGUACGCACAAAGUGGGCGGAAUUCGUGGUGUAGCGGUGAAAUGCUUAGAUAUCACGAAGAACUCCGAUUGCGAAGGCAGCUCACUGGAGCGCAACUGACGCUGAAGCUCGAAAGUGCGGGUAUCGAACAGGAUUAGAUACCCUGGUAGUCCGCACGGUAAACGAUGGAUGCCCGCUGUUGGU
Molecule: ribosomal RNA, 800 nt
Filed under: uncultured bacterium
Lineage: Bacteria
Description: bacterial SSU rRNA
Rfam family: Bacterial small subunit ribosomal RNA
Source: RNAcentral